Molecule: ribosomal RNA, 464 nt
Filed under: uncultured bacterium
Lineage: Bacteria
Description: partial 16S ribosomal RNA
Rfam family: Bacterial small subunit ribosomal RNA
Source: RNAcentral
ACGAACGCUGGCGGCGUGCUUAACACCUGCAAGUCGAACGGAAAGGCCCCUUUGGGGGUACUCGAGUGGCGAACGGGUGAGUAACACGUGAGUAACCUGCCCUUGACUUCGGGAUAACUUCAGGAAACUGGGGCUAAUACCGGAUAGGAAUCCUUGCUGCAUGGUGGGGGUUGGAAAGCUUCGGCGGUUUUGGAUGGACUCGCGGCUUAUCAGCUUGUUGGUGGGGUAGUGGCUUACCAAGGCUUUGACGGGUAGCCGGCCUGAGAGGGCGACCGGCCACAUUGGGACUGAGAUACGGCCCAGACGCCUACGGGAGGCAGCAGUGGGGAAUAUUGCACAAUGGGCGGAAGCCUGAUGCAGCAACGCCGCGUGCGGGAUGACGGCCUUCGGGUUGUAAACCGCUUUCAGCAGGGGCGAAGCUUGUGGUGACGGUACCUGCAGAAGAAGCACCGGCUAACUACGUG